RNAcentral lists this ribosomal RNA (2288 nucleotides) under Salmonella enterica. Its description in RNAcentral is "partial 23S ribosomal RNA". It matches the Rfam family "Bacterial large subunit ribosomal RNA", at positions 532 to 2802 of the family's 2925-position model. Lineage: Bacteria; Pseudomonadati; Pseudomonadota; Gammaproteobacteria; Enterobacterales; Enterobacteriaceae. The record is from RNAcentral.
AGGGGAGUGAAAAAGAACCUGAAACCGUGUACGUACAAGCAGUGGGAGCACAGGUUUACCUGUGUGACUGCGUACCUUUUGUAUAAUGGGUCAGCGACUUAUAUUCUGUAGCAAGGUUAACCGUAUAGGGGAGCCGGAGGGAAACCGAGUCUUAACCGGGCGUUAAGUUGCAGGGUAUAGACCCGAAACCCGGUGAUCUAGCCAUGGGCAGGUUGAAGGUUGGGUAACACUAACUGGAGGACCGAACCGACUAAUGUUGAAAAAUUAGCGGAUGACCUGUGGCUGGGGGUGAAAGGCCAAUCAAACCGGGAGAUAGCUGGUUCUCCCCGAAAGCUAUUUAGGUAGCGCCUCGUGAACUCAUCUCCGGGGGUAGAGCACUGUUUCGGCUAGGGGGCCAUCCCGGCUUACCAACCCGAUGCAAACUGCGAAUACCGGAGAAUGUUAUCACGGGAGACACACGGCGGGUGCUAACGUCCGUCGUGAAGAGGGAAACAACCCAGACCGCCAGCUAAGGUCCCAAAGUCAUGGUUAAGUGGGAAACGAUGUGGGAAGGCCCAGACAGCCAGGAUGUUGGCUUAGAAGCAGCCAUCAUUUAAAGAAAGCGUAAUAGCUCACUGGUCGAGUCGGCCUGCGCGGAAGAUGUAACGGGGCUAAACCAUGCACCGAAGCUGCGGCAGCGACACUGUGUGUUGUUGGGUAGGGGAGCGUUCUGUAAGCCUGUGAAGGUGGCCUGUGAGGGUUGCUGGAGGUAUCAGAAGUGCGAAUGCUGACAUAAGUAACGAUAAAGCGGGUGAAAAGCCCGCUCGCCGGAAGACCAAGGGUUCCUGUCCAACGUUAAUCGGGGCAGGGUGAGUCGACCCCUAAGGCGAGGCCGAAAGGCGUAGUCGAUGGGAAACGGGUUAAUAUUCCCGUACUUGGUGUUACUGCGAAGGGGGGACGGAGAAGGCUAUGUUGGCCGGGCGACGGUUGUCCCGGUUUAAGCGUGUAGGUGUGUGUUCCAGGUAAAUCCGGUUCACUUUAACACUGAGGCGUGAUGACGAGGCACUACGGUGCUGAAGCAACAAAUGCCCUGCUUCCAGGAAAAGCCUCUAAGCAUCAGGUAACACGAAAUCGUACCCCAAACCGACACAGGUGGUCAGGUAGAGAAUACCAAGGCGCUUGAGAGAACUCGGGUGAAGGAACUAGGCAAAAUGGUGCCGUAACUUCGGGAGAAGGCACGCUGACACGUAGGUGAAGUGAUUUACUCAUGGAGCUGAAGUCAGUCGAAGAUACCAGCUGGCUGCAACUGUUUAUUAAAAACACAGCACUGUGCAAACACGAAAGUGGACGUAUACGGUGUGACGCCUGCCCGGUGCCGGAAGGUUAAUUGAUGGGGUCAGCGCAAGCGAAGCUCCUGAUCGAAGCCCCGGUAAACGGCGGCCGUAACUAUAACGGUCCUAAGGUAGCGAAAUUCCUUGUCGGGUAAGUUCCGACCUGCACGAAUGGCGUAAUGAUGGCCAGGCUGUCUCCACCCGAGACUCAGUGAAAUUGAACUCGCUGUGAAGAUGCAGUGUACCCGCGGCAAGACGGAAAGACCCCGUGAACCUUUACUAUAGCUUGACACUGAACAUUGAGCCUUGAUGUGUAGGAUAGGUGGGAGGCUUUGAAGUGUGGACGCCAGUCUGCAUGGAGCCGACCUUGAAAUACCACCCUUUAAUGUUUGAUGUUCUAACGUGGACCCGUUACCCGGGUUGCGGACAGUGUCUGGUGGGUAGUUUGACUGGGGCGGUCUCCUCCUAAAGAGUAACGGAGGAGCACGAAGGUUGGCUAAUCCUGGUCGGACAUCAGGAGGUUAGUGCAAUGGCAUAAGCCAGCUUGACUGCGAGCGUGACGGCGCGAGCAGGUGCGAAAGCAGGUCAUAGUGAUCCGGUGGUUCUGAAUGGAAGGGCCAUCGCUCAACGGAUAAAAGGUACUCCGGGGAUAACAGGCUGAUACCGCCCAAGAGUUCAUAUCGACGGCGGUGUUUGGCACCUCGAUGUCGGCUCAUCACAUCCUGGGGCUGAAGUAGGUCCCAAGGGUAUGGCUGUUCGCCAUUUAAAGUGGUACGCGAGCUGGGUUUAGAACGUCGUGAGACAGUUCGGUCCCUAUCUGCCGUGGGCGCUGGAGAACUGAGGGGGGCUGCUCCUAGUACGAGAGGACCGGAGUGGACGCAUCACUGGUGUUCGGGUUGUCAUGCCAAUGGCACUGCCCGGUAGCUAAAUGCGGAAGAGAUAAGUGCUGAAAGCAUCUAAGCACGAAACUUGCCCCGA